Molecule: ribosomal RNA, 465 nt
Filed under: Vreelandella stevensii
Lineage: Bacteria; Pseudomonadati; Pseudomonadota; Gammaproteobacteria; Oceanospirillales; Halomonadaceae
Description: partial 16S ribosomal RNA
Rfam family: Bacterial small subunit ribosomal RNA
Source: RNAcentral
CCUACGGGCGGCUGCAGUGGGGAAUAUUGGACAAUGGGGGCAACCCUUAUCCAGCCAUGCCGCGUGUGUGAAGAAGGCCCUCGGGUUGUAAAGCACUUUCAGUGAGGAAGAACGCCUGGUGGUUAAUACCCAUCAGGAAAGACAUCACUCACAGAAGAAGCACCGGCUAACUCCGUGCCAGCAGCCGCGGUAAUACGGAGGGUGCGAGCGUUAAUCGGAAUUACUGGGCGUAAAGCGCGCGUAGGUGGCUUGAUAAGCCGGUUGUGAAAGCCCCGGGCUCAACCUGGGAACGGCAUCCGGAACUGUCAAGCUAGAGUGCAGGAGAGGAAGGUAGAAUUCCCGGUGUAGCGGUGAAAUGCGUAGAGAUCGGGAGGAAUACCAGUGGCGAAGGCGGCCUUCUGGACUGACACUGACACUGAGGUGCGAAAGCGUGGGUAGCAAACAGGAUUAGAUACCCGAGUAGUC